GUGGGGAAUAUUGCGCAAUGGGGGAAACCCUGACGCAGCAACGCCGCGUGCAGGAAGAAGGUCUUCGGAUUGUAAACUGUUGUCGCAGGGGAAGAAGACAGUGACGGUACCCUGUGAGAAAGUCACGGCUAACUACGUGCCAGCAGCCGCGGUAAUACGUAGGUGACAAGCGUUGUCCGGAUUUACUGGGUGUAAAGGGCGCGUAGGCGGAUGUGCAAGUCAGUCGUGAAAUACCGGGGCUCAACCCCGGGGCUGCGAUUGAAACUGCACACCUUGAGUAUCGGAGAGGAAAGCGGAAUUCCUAGUGUAGCGGUGAAAUGCGUAGAUAUUAGGAGGAACACCAGUGGCGAAGGCGGCUUUCUGGACGACAACUGACGCUGAGGCGCGAAAGUGUGGGGAGCAAACAGGA
Molecule: ribosomal RNA, 409 nt
Filed under: uncultured bacterium
Lineage: Bacteria
Description: bacterial SSU rRNA
Rfam family: Bacterial small subunit ribosomal RNA
Source: RNAcentral